GCUUAUUGUUCUUAUAUAUUUCGUCUAUCCUGUUCAGCAGUUCGUAGCACUUGUUUUGCCAAUGAUGAAAAUGAUUUUGCUGUAUCUUGCAUCUCUGUUGCUCGUAGGUUGAUAUCCUGUCAAGUUUCAAUGCAUUUUCCUGGUGUUGUCCUGCAAUCUGCCUUGUGCCAAUUUAGCAAUGCUUACAACGCUCGUGCCUGUUUCCUACAACGGCGCAUUCACGAUCAAUGCAUGAGUUAUCUUGGUGUAUGAUGCAUCAAGUUUAUUUCGGUUGCAUCGUAACAUUUUCGUCAAAAUUGUUGCCAAAAUCUAAAACAUGAUACUAAAUUACUAAAUAAGUAUGAGCUUUGACAC
Molecule: long non-coding RNA, 354 nt
Organism: Arachis ipaensis
Lineage: Eukaryota; Viridiplantae; Streptophyta; Magnoliopsida; Fabales; Fabaceae
Source: RefSeq, a predicted model, not a curated record